UACAGAGGUCUCAAGCGUUGUUCGGAUUCAUUGGGCGUAAAGGGUGCGUAGGCGGCGCGGUAAGUCGGGUGUGAAAUCUCGGAGCUUAACUCCGAAACUGCAUUCGAUACUGCCGGACUAGAGGGCAGUAGAGGGUGGUGGAAUUCCGGGUGUAGUGGUGAAAUGCGUAGAGAUCCGGAGGAACACCAGUGGCGAAAGCGGCCACCUGGACUGCACCUGACGCUCAAACGCGAAAGCUAGGGGAGCGAACGGU
This 253-nucleotide ribosomal RNA is filed under the name uncultured bacterium. RNAcentral describes it as "partial 16S ribosomal RNA". It matches the Rfam family "Bacterial small subunit ribosomal RNA", at positions 524 to 776 of the family's 1533-position model. The record is from RNAcentral.